GGGGGUGACUGGUUUCGACAGGGUAUGUUUGAGGUGGGAAGCAAGCCGUGGUCUCCUCGCCACGCUAAACAGGGGUACCGUCAAAAUGAAUUGACAAGAACGAAACUUUUGAGCCUCAACUGGCUCUUGCCGCAUAACAUAAGCCGGCACGUCUAACCGGGAGUUCUCCCGAUUCCGGGGCGACGUCAUCUUAGGGAGAUGCUCGUACGGACGUGGCUGGUAUGCCGUACGAAAAGAUUGAACCGGCUGGGACGUCGAGCGCGUGUUGUUGGGUGCGACGCGUCCAAGAUUCAACCAACAACUGAGCUUGGAGAAACCUGCCAGGGAUGUGCUUUGGACCGGAGUUCGAUUCUCCGCACCUCCACC
This 366-nucleotide transfer-messenger RNA is filed under the name bovine gut metagenome. It matches the Rfam family "transfer-messenger RNA". From Rfam's summary of the family: Bacterial tmRNA, also known as 10Sa RNA or SsrA, is named for its dual tRNA and mRNA-like properties. The record is from RNAcentral.